This 97-nucleotide ribosomal RNA is filed under the name Miltoniopsis vexillaria. RNAcentral describes it as "partial 18S ribosomal RNA". It matches the Rfam family "Eukaryotic small subunit ribosomal RNA", at positions 1735 to 1831 of the family's 1831-position model. The record is from RNAcentral. Lineage: Eukaryota; Viridiplantae; Streptophyta; Magnoliopsida; Asparagales; Orchidaceae.
GCCCGUGACUCGGCGAGAAGUCCAUUGAACCUUAUCAUUUAGAGGAAGGAGAAGUCGUAACAAGGUUUCCGUAGGUGAACCUGCGGAAGGAUCAUUG